AGCUCUAAUAGUAUAUAUUAGUGUUGUUGCAGUUAAAACGCUCGUAGUUGGAUUGUGGGGCAUGAUGGCUGAGUCUCACCGUUUUUUGGUGUUGUUUCUCUGGCCGUUUCGUGUUUCCCUUACACUUCCUGAAGACCUGGCAUUGUCCUCAUCGGCAGUGUCAUGGGAUUCUGGACUUUUACUUUGAAAAAAUUAGAGUGUUCAAAGCAGGCAUAUUUCGCUUGAAUAAAUUAGCAUGGAAUAAUAAAAUAGGAUGUCGAUUCUAUUUUGUUGGUUUCUGCAGAGUUGACAUAAUGAUUGAUUGGGACGGCCAGGGUCAUUUGUAUUUAAUUGUCAGAGGUGAAAUUCUUGGAUUUGUGAAAGACAAACUUCUGCGAAAGCAUUUGACAGGAAUGUUUUC
Molecule: ribosomal RNA, 400 nt
Filed under: phytoplankton environmental sample
Lineage: Eukaryota
Description: partial small subunit ribosomal RNA
Rfam family: Eukaryotic small subunit ribosomal RNA
Source: RNAcentral